This is a long non-coding RNA of Brassica rapa (field mustard), 935 nucleotides long. RefSeq lists it as uncharacterized. The record is from RefSeq and is a predicted model, not a curated record. NCBI's taxonomy places the organism in Eukaryota, Viridiplantae, Streptophyta, Magnoliopsida, Brassicales, Brassicaceae.
AAGCACAUUUAAUAAUGUAUUUAUUGUGGUUUAAUAAAAAAACUUAUUAUAUAUUUAGAUGGACCAACAUAUUUUUCUAAGGAUUCUAAGAAUCAUUCUAGUGAUGACAUGUGGCUACAAAAAAAUGUUGCAAUGCUUCUCAAAUAAUAUAUAGGGGAUUGAUCAUUUUUUCCAUAUUUUUCAUAAAUUAAGUUUCUGCUAUAUCUUUUAAUCACUCUCUAUCAUAAUUUAUUUCACAACGUAGCCCUGAAGCCCAUAUAAGGGAGAUUCUGUCUAAAAUGGUAACUGAAACAAAUCCUCACUUCAUAGAACAUUCUGGUUCAGUUUACAGAUUAAGGCAUAAAAGAGAAGUAAAGCUAAAGAAGUAAAUCCUUUUACAAAAACAAAGAGACUCUAGAAAGGUACUUACUUACUUUGGAUAUAUAUAAGUCUAUAUGGUCACAUAUGUUAUGUUAUUAAGACUUGUUUUGUUUCAAUAUGAUUCAGGUUUUAGAUGUUCGUCCUGUGAUAGAAUGGAACAAAGGAAAAGCAGUUGAGUUUCUGUUGGAAUCUCUAGGAUUAAGCAAACGAUGAUUUUCUACCAAUCUUCAUAGGAGAUGACAAGACUGAUGAGGAUGCGUUUACGGUACUAAGGGAGAAGAAGCAAGGAUUUGGAAUCUUGGUAUCCUCUGUACCAAAAGAAAGCAAUGCUUUCUACUCUCUUAGAGACCCCUCAGAGGUGAAGAAGUUUCUCAAGACUUUGGUGAAAUGGAGAAAGAUGGAAGACUCUACAAGUCAUUUGAUGAUUUGUGUAGGAGUAUCAGAAGAAGCUUCAUUCAACUCUUGCUUUCUAUUUUUUUUUCACAUUUUAGUUUUCUAUAUCUUUAAUAGUCUCUGCUAUUAUAUCUUUGAAUUGAUCAUUUUUUUUCCAUAUUAUCCAUGAAUUAAGCUGUAUU